RNAcentral lists this ribosomal RNA (471 nucleotides) under uncultured Acidovorax sp. RNAcentral describes it as "bacterial SSU rRNA". It matches the Rfam family "Bacterial small subunit ribosomal RNA", at positions 910 to 1382 of the family's 1533-position model. Lineage: Bacteria; Pseudomonadati; Pseudomonadota; Betaproteobacteria; Burkholderiales; Comamonadaceae. The record is from RNAcentral.
UUGACGGGACCCGCACAAGCGGUGGAUGAUGUGGUUUAAUUCGAUGCAACGCGAAAAACCUUACCCACCUUUGACAUGUACGGAAUCCUUUAGAGAUAGAGGAGUGCUCGAAAGAGAACCGUAACACAGGUGCUGCAUGGCUGUCGUCAGCUCGUGUCGUGAGAUGUUGGGUUAAGUCCCGCAACGAGCGCAACCCUUGUCAUUAGUUGCUACAUUUAGUUGGGCACUCUAAUGAGACUGCCGGUGACAAACCGGAGGAAGGUGGGGAUGACGUCAAGUCCUCAUGGCCCUUAUAGGUGGGGCUACACACGUCAUACAAUGGAUGGUACAAAGGGUCGCCAACCCGCGAGGGGGAGCCAAUCCCAUAAAGCCAUUCGUAGUCCGGAUCGCAGUCUGCAACUCGACUGCGUGAAGUCGGAAUCGCUAGUAAUCGUGGAUCAGAAUGUCACGGUGAAUACGUUCCCGGGUCUU